This 245-nucleotide ribosomal RNA is filed under the name uncultured bacterium. RNAcentral's name for it is "partial 16S ribosomal RNA". It matches the Rfam family "Bacterial small subunit ribosomal RNA", at positions 524 to 768 of the family's 1533-position model. The record is from RNAcentral.
UACGAAGGGGGCUAGCGUUGCUCGGAAUGACUGGGCGUAAAGGGCGCGUAGGCGGUUUUCGCAGUCGGGCGUGAAAGUCCUGGGCUCAACCUGGGGGUGUCGCCCGAGACGCGGGGGCUGGAGUGCGGAAGAGGGUCGUGGAAUUCCCAGUGUAGAGGUGAAAUUCGUAGAUAUUGGGAAGAACACCGGUGGCGAAGGCGGCGACCUGGUCCGUGACUGACGCUGAGGCGCGAAAGCGUGGGGAG